Molecule: unclassified non-coding RNA, 332 nt
Filed under: soil metagenome
Description: partial contains 5.8S ribosomal RNA, internal transcribed spacer 2, and large subunit ribosomal RNA
Rfam family: 5.8S ribosomal RNA (bases 1-120)
Source: RNAcentral
GAUGAAGAACGUAGCGAAAUGCGAUACGUAAUGUGAAUUGCAGAAUUCAGUGAAUCAUCGAAUCUUUGAACGCACAUUGCGCCCGCCAGCACUCUGGCGGGCAUGCCUGUUCGAGCGUCAUUUCAACCAUCAAGCCCCAGGCUUGCGUUGGAGCCCUGCGGCUGCCACAGCCUCCUAAAAGCAGUGGCGGGCUCGCUAUCACACCGAGUGCAGUAGAUUACUCUUCUCAGGGCGUGCAGCGGGUUCCGGCCGUGAAACCCCCUACUUUUAAAGGUUGACCUCGGAUCAGGUAGGAAUACCCGCUGAACUUAAGCAUAUCAAUAAGCGGAGGA